CGGCGGCGGUGGUGUCGGGGUCGGCGCAGCAGAUCCCGCCGUGCGCGUCGAAGCUGAUCGGCUGCGCGCAGUACCUGAACUCGACGAGCCCGCCGUCUAGCUGCUGCGGGCCCCUGAAGGAGGCGGUGAAGACGGAGGCGCCGUGCCUCUGUGGCUUGUUUAACGACACGUCGCUUCUGAAGACCUUCAACAUCGACCUCAAGCAGGUACUCCAGCUUCCCAAGGCUUGCGGGAUCACAGAGAGUAGGACGACCUUGUGCUCCAAUGUAUCCGCCACGGCUCCUCCCACCUCUCCGACCGGUCCAACUCCAGCAUCAUCCUCACCUCCAGCUACCCCUGCAGGUAGUAAAUCCAACUCUGCAUAUGGAACAGCUUCGAUCGGUUUCCCUGUGUUGACUGGCCUGCUCUUGUUCUUAUGGUCCAUGACGGCAUAGGGUACAAAUUCCACGCUUGUCGAGGUAAAUCUUGUCGGAUUAUCUUGUGGUACUGGGUUGGAUUUCUUGCUUUGCUAUCUUUCUUGUACUUUGUUGAGUUUGUAUCCUCUGCUCCAUUUAAUCCUGUUGUAUUUCACACGUAUGUCUUGUCGAAUUUCCAAGAUUGCCUGCCAAUGUUGUUUGUAAUGAUGACCUUUACGUAAGUGUUUGUCUGUGAAUUGCGGUCAGUUUAUCUCUGUCUAUGCCAAACUAUCAUUGUUGAG
This 697-nucleotide unclassified non-coding RNA is filed under the name Hevea brasiliensis (rubber tree). Lineage: Eukaryota; Viridiplantae; Streptophyta; Magnoliopsida; Malpighiales; Euphorbiaceae. The record is from RNAcentral.